This 252-nucleotide ribosomal RNA is filed under the name uncultured bacterium. RNAcentral describes it as "partial 16S ribosomal RNA". It matches the Rfam family "Bacterial small subunit ribosomal RNA", at positions 524 to 776 of the family's 1533-position model. The record is from RNAcentral.
UACGUAGGGUGCGAGCGUUGUCCGGAAUUAUUGGGCGUAAAGAGCUUGUAGGCGGUCUGUCGCGUCUGCUGUGAAAAUCCGGGGCUCAACCCCGGACUUGCAGUGGGUACGGGCAGACUAGAGUGCGGUAGGGGAGACUGGAAUUCCUGGUGUAGCGGUGAAAUGCGCAGAUAUCUGGAGGAACACCGGUGGCGAAGGCGGCAUCCUGGACCGGCAUUGACGCGUGAGGCGCGAAAGCUAGGGAGCAACGGG